This 501-nucleotide ribosomal RNA is filed under the name Malassezia furfur. Its description in RNAcentral is "eukaryotic LSU rRNA". It matches the Rfam family "Eukaryotic large subunit ribosomal RNA", at positions 67 to 571 of the family's 3401-position model. Lineage: Eukaryota; Fungi; Basidiomycota; Malasseziomycetes; Malasseziales; Malasseziaceae. The record is from RNAcentral.
AACAAGGAUUCCCCUAGUAACGGCGAGUGAAGAGGGAAGAGCUCAAAUUUGAAAGCUGGUACCUUCGGUAUCCGCGUUGUAACCUCGAGACACGUUUUCCGUGCGGCGCUAUGGACAAGUUCCUUGGAACAGGACAUCGUAGAGGGUGAAAAUCCCGUACUUGCCAUGGAUGUACCGUGCUUUGCGAUACGUGCUCUAAGAGUCGAGUUGUUUGGGAUUGCAGCUCAAAAUGGGUGGUAGACUCCAUCUAAAGCUAAAUAUCGGGGAGAGACCGAUAGCGAACAAGUACCGUGAGGGAAAGAUGAAAAGCACUUUGGAAAGAGAGUUAAAAGUACGUGAAAUUGUCGAAAGGGAAGCGCUUGAAGUCAGCCAUGCCGCUCAGGACUCAGCCUGGCUUUUGCUUGGUGUAUUUCCUGGGUAGCAAGUCAGCAUUGGUUUGGAUCGUCGGAGAAGCAUAGUCGGAAUGUGGCGCCCUCGGGCGUGUUAUAGCCUUCUAUUGGA